Molecule: long non-coding RNA, 1223 nt
Filed under: Pan troglodytes (chimpanzee)
Lineage: Eukaryota; Metazoa; Chordata; Mammalia; Primates; Hominidae
Description: long non-coding RNA NONPTRT014169
Source: RNAcentral
GGCGCCAUUGCCUCCAGCCCCGAGCCACCAUUGUUUCCAGUGCCAAAUCGGGCAGCCCCGCUAGCCUCCGAGGCCGAACCGCCAGGGGCCCCAUAAGCCCCGAGGAGGCUCGUCGGGAACCGCUUCCUUAUCCUCUCGGUAUGCGCAUCGCCACCACCCUCGCUGCAGAGGCCGCCGCCCUCCCAGCGCGCCAUCACCGCCUCCUCUGCCUCUUCCCCUCCCUCAGCCCCGGCCCCUGCAUUGACUUGGCUCGGGCUGCGCCUCACUGCGCCUGCCAGCUGUCACACGCUCUGAGGCUUUCAACAGCGGGGCGCCAGGGACAAACAAGCCGCGGCAAGCGCAAACAGCCUGCUCAAACAGGGACGGCCAGGGUGUUGUUUGACCAGCACUGGAAUUGGAAACUAGGUUUCGAAGAAGUCAAAUCGAAGUACAAUAUUGUAUUUUAAACUGCCUGUUGUUAUUACAUCCCUCACAACGCACGCUCUACUUGAAACUUCCAGUGGAUACCAACUGCACUUAGAAUAAAAAAUGAAACUCCUUGCCUAGCUCUGGGACCUCAUCAGCACAUACUCACCAUGUUUUGGUCACAAAGGCCUUCAUGCUGUUCCCGGAAGUCGCCAAGUUCCAUCCAUCAUUGUUAAUAAUUCCUUUUGCUCGCUCCUCGCACAAGAACUGUUUCUUCUGCUUAGUGCUUUGCCUACUGAUUCCAUCUUGUCAUUUAAGUCUCGGCUCACAUGUCACCUCUGCAAAGAACCCUUGCCUGACCAUACAUCUAAAAUAGCCACAAACACUCUAUAAAGACUUGGCCUUGCUUUAUUUCCUUCUCAGCACUCAUCACUGUCUGAAACAAUGUUUUGGAUUUGUUGCUUAUUAUCAGUCUCCCUUCUCAAGAAUGCAAGCUUUGUGAGAGCAGAGUCGUAAUCUUUUUUAAGGCUGUAUCCCCAAUGCCUGGAUUGCCCAACACUUGCUUCAUGCUUCAAGCACAUCAGGGUGCUUUCCACUUCUGGAUGAGCCAAGUGUUUCCUCAGCUUUUCUGCACCUUCCUCUCCAUUGACCUAGAGUGUCUAUGGAACACUCAGAGUGUCCCCUGUGUAAACCACCUACCACAAGAUUAUCAACUUCAGGCGAUGGGCCACGCACCAGGAUUCCACCUCUUUCUAGCACCUAUCAGUGUUGCGCACAUCACAGGCCCUCAACAAACAGGCAGCCACGCUGGGGGAUCC